ACGUCCAUACUUGCUGAAAGCACCAGUUCCCGUCCGAUCACUGCAGUUAAGCGUCUGAGGGUCUCGUUAGUUCAAUAUUGUGGUCGGAGACAACAUGGGAAUCCGGGAUGCUGUGGGUUUCU
Molecule: ribosomal RNA, 122 nt
Filed under: Schizosaccharomyces osmophilus
Lineage: Eukaryota; Fungi; Ascomycota; Schizosaccharomycetes; Schizosaccharomycetales; Schizosaccharomycetaceae
Source: RNAcentral